Molecule: ribosomal RNA, 187 nt
Filed under: uncultured bacterium
Lineage: Bacteria
Description: partial 16S ribosomal RNA
Rfam family: Bacterial small subunit ribosomal RNA
Source: RNAcentral
GCCUACAUGAAGUCGGAAUCGCUAGUAAUCGCGGAUCAGCAUGCCGCGGUGAAUACGUUCCCGGGCCUUGUACACACCGCCCGUCACACCAUGAGAGUUUGUAACACCCAAAGCCGGUGGGGUAACCUUUUGGAGCCAGCCGUCUAAGGUGGGACAGAUGAUUGGGGUGAAGUCGUAACAAGGUACC